Molecule: ribosomal RNA, 450 nt
Filed under: uncultured bacterium
Lineage: Bacteria
Description: bacterial SSU rRNA
Rfam family: Bacterial small subunit ribosomal RNA
Source: RNAcentral
GUGGGGAAUAUUGGACAAUGGGCGAAAGCCUGAUCCAGCCAUGCCGCGUGUGUGAAGAAGGUCUUCGGAUUGUAAAGCACUUUAAGUUGGGAGGAAGGGCAGUAAGUUAAUACCUUGCUGUUUUGACGUUACCGACAGAAUAAGCACCGGCUAACUUCGUGCCAGCAGCCGCGGUAAUACGAAGGGUGCAAGCGUUAAUCGGAAUUACUGGGCGUAAAGCGCGCGUAGGUGGUUUUGUAAGUUGGAGGUGAAAUCCACGGGCUCAACCUGGGAACUGCCUCCAAAACUGCAUGACUAGAGUACGGUAGAGGGUAGUGGAAUUUCCUGUGUAGCGGUGAAAUGCGUAGAUAUAGGAAGGAACACCAGUGGCGAAGGCGACUACCUGGACUGAUACUGACACUGAGGUGCGAAAGCGUGGGGAGCAAACAGGAUUAGAAACCCGUGUAGUCC